This 694-nucleotide ribosomal RNA is filed under the name uncultured bacterium. RNAcentral describes it as "bacterial SSU rRNA". It matches the Rfam family "Bacterial small subunit ribosomal RNA", at positions 147 to 853 of the family's 1533-position model. The record is from RNAcentral.
GCGCUGGAAACGGCGUCUAAUACCGGAUACGAGCUGCGAAGGCAUCUUCAGCAGCUGGAAAGAAUUUCGGUCAGGGAUGAGCUCGCGGCCUAUCAGCUUGUUGGUGAGGUAAUGGCUCACCAAGGCGUCGACGGGUAGCCGGCCUGAGAGGGUGACCGGCCACACUGGGACUGAGACACGGCCCAGACUCCUACGGGAGGCAGCAGUGGGGAAUAUUGCACAAUGGGCGAAAGCCUGAUGCAGCAACGCCGCGUGAGGGAUGACGGCCUUCGGGUUGUAAACCUCUUUUAGCAAGGAAGAAGCGAAAGUGACGGUACUUGCAGAAAAAGCGCCGGCUAACUACGUGCCAGCAGCCGCGGUAAUACGUAGGGCGCAAGCGUUAUCCGGAAUUAUUGGGCGUAAAGAGCUCGUAGGCGGUCUGUCGCGUCUGCUGUGAAAACCCGAGGCUCAACCUCGGGCCUGCAGUGGGUACGGGCAGACUAGAGUGCGGUAGGGGAGAUUGGAAUUCCUGGUGUAGCGGUGGAAUGCGCAGAUAUCAGGAGGAACACCGAUGGCGAAGGCAGAUCUCUGGGCCGUAACUGACGCUGAGGAGCGAAAGGGUGGGGAGCAAACAGGCUUAGAUACCCUGGUAGUCCACCCCGUAAACGUUGGGAACUAGUUGUGGGGUCCAUUCCACGGAUUCCGUGACGCAGCU